This is a long non-coding RNA of Bubalus bubalis (water buffalo), 388 nucleotides long. RefSeq lists it as uncharacterized. The record is from RefSeq and is a predicted model, not a curated record. Lineage: Eukaryota; Metazoa; Chordata; Mammalia; Artiodactyla; Bovidae. The transcript is spliced from 2 exons.
UUUACAGUAACCUGCUCCAUAAAACACAGGGACUCCAAACAACCUGGACAAACACUCUUGAGGUCGAGGACCAUGAGAGGCAUCAAGUUCUACCCUGCUUCAAGGGGAAGGAGAUGGAUCUUCACCCCUUGAUGGGAGCUGGCAAGGUCCUGGAACAGCAAUGUGGGGCCAGAAAUAUUGCUGUGGCCACUUUUGGAAAUUACCAUCUUCUGCAACUAGAAUUAAAGACCUUCUUUACAGGGGAAAAAAAAGAGGGAGAAAAGAAGCAGCCGAAACAACUAACAAAUCACACCUGAAGGCUGAGUAUGCCUGCUCCCAUUUCUCUUCCUCUGGGGAAUCUGCAAUCUGUGCUUACUGCAAAUUGAACAGGAAUAAAGCAUUUUAACUC